GAUGAACGCUGGCGGCGUGCCUAAUACAUGCAAGUCGAACGCACAGCGAAAGGUGCUUGCACCUUUCAAGUGAGUGGCGAACGGGUGAGUAACACGUGGACAACCUGCCUCAAGGCUGGGGAUAACAUUUGGAAACAGAUGCUAAUACCGAAUAAAACUCAGUGUCGCAUGACACAAAGUUAAAAGGCGCUUUGGCGUCACCUAGAGAUGGAUCCGCGGUGCAUUAGUUAGUUGGUGGGGUAAAGGCCUACCAAGACAAUGAUGAAUAGCCGAGUUGAGAGACUGAGCGGCCACAUUGGGACUGAGACACGGCCCAAACUCCUACGGGAGGCUGCAGUAGGGAAUCUUCCACAAUGGGCGAAAGCCUGAUGGAGCAACGCCGCGUGUGUGAUGAAGGCUUUCGGGUCGUAAAGCACUGUUGUAUGGGAAGAACAGCUAGAAUAGGGAAUGAUUUUAGUUUGACGGUACCAUACCGGAAAGGGACGGCUAAAUACGUGCCAGCCGCCGCGGUAA
This 513-nucleotide ribosomal RNA is filed under the name uncultured bacterium. RNAcentral describes it as "partial 16S ribosomal RNA". It matches the Rfam family "Bacterial small subunit ribosomal RNA", at positions 28 to 523 of the family's 1533-position model. The record is from RNAcentral.